UUCUGAGAAACUGGAUUCGUCCAUUCUUAACAACUCUAGGAAAUUAACAUAUUUUGCCAGUGCAAGUUUUCCCCACGUCGACCUUGAUACAUGCUAACGAAACACGUCCAGUACUAUUUAUAAUAUUAUCACAAAUCGGCUAUUUUUUUAUUUUGUAGCUUAACUGCUGUGCACCAUGCGGCUUCUUGGAAUUUACAGCUUGAUGUUGCAUAUUGCUUUAGUUUAUUGCACAGAGUUAACGUUUGUAUUGCCAGAUAACGAUAAACAAUGUUUCUUCGACGAUCUACAGGAAGGAGUCAAGAUCGACAUUGACUAUCAAGUCAUUGCUGGGGGGAACUACGACAUUGACUGUUUUGUUACAGACCCACAGAACAAUGUUCUGUAUCAGGAGAAAAAGAGACAGUAUGACAGCUUCUCGCACACAACAACAUCCAAGGGUGUUUACAAGGUCUGCUUCAGCAACGAGUUCUCCACUUUCACCCACAAAACUGUCUACCUGGAUUUUCGAGCUGGGGAAGAGGCCCCUCUCCUACCUGACAUGAACAGAGCCACCGCCCUCACUCAGAUGGAGUCAGCCUGCCUCUCCAUCCAUGAGAUCUUGAAGGUAGUGACAGACUCACAGACGUGGUACCGGCUCCGGGAGGCACAGGACAGGAUUCGGGCUGAGGACCUGCAUGAGCGUGUGUCUUACUGGUCCAUUGGGGAGACGGUCAUCCUGUUCGUGUCACUUCCUGGCUUUGCACUCAGCAGUUUCCAAUGUGCCAUAUAAAGAAGCGGCCCCUCUACAUGAGCGCUAGGAACACCAUUCUGAAAGCUACGAUGGCUGGUUCAAAGGCAUCUUCAAGGUCAUUUUACAGAAACAACCUCCACAGGACUACUUGCCUGUGGGAGUUUUAUGGUGAGAGAAUGAGAUGUCACUACUCCACGGAAGGGAAAGAUGGACUGGACAUGAUCCUGGAAGGAACCUGCCAAUUUGGACUCCCUUGUUUUGUGUGUGUUGGUGUGGUGAGGAACGAAUGGGAUGUGGGAAGGGCUGAAGGAGAGGUAGAGGAGUGUGGGUAUGAAUGAGUGCUUGUUUUGUCUCGUCUUGUCUAGUAUGUAAAGUUGGAAAAUUGAAAAUGAAAAUAAAAUUCUAUUAAAAAAAUUGAUAACCUGAAGGAUGGAAGGAGUUCUUCGAAAAACUGAUUUGACUCUGCUCUCGUGUUUGUGCAACAUCAAAACAGAUGCAGGUUAUACAAUAAUUUAUUCAAUGGACAUAAAAACUACAGAACAUAAUGAACAAAUCUUAACUGGGAAAGCAAAGUUAGAGAAAAGGUGUGAGUAUGAGUGCAUGUGUGUGCACACAUGUCCUUUGUCCCUGGACAAAAGGGGGAAUGGUGGAAAAUAUUUUGUUGUGUUUGUGUAGUGUGUACGUAGGUAUCAACGAGGCUAAAUAACUUUAAAUACAAAGGAGUAUCACUCCCGGUAGUGGUGGAAAGGGACGCACAGCUUAUAAUAAGCAAUACCGGCAACUGAGCUGGUUAUUCGCUCACUACCGACUAAACUGAUAUUGUUAGUUAAAGAGUAAGUAGGAGUUUGAGUUGAAGAGUUAGCUGGUAGAAAAGAAAACCACAUGUAGCUGUAGACAGGGAAUCGAUUCAUGUAACUACAGUUAUCAGAAAACAAGGAGUAAUAGAAUACACAGAAUUAGAUUAAAUUCAGUCAGGACUAAACCAAACUGCUAUAGCCUGGAAAGUUUGGUCAGUCUUACUGUUCUCAUGUUGACCCGGUGGUUGUUGUUCAGUCAACGGGAGAACACGCUGGUGGAGUCAGACUCUUGCGGAGGUUUCAGAUGUGGUCAGCACAAGCUGGAGUCUUUUGCCAUGUGCAGGGCGACUUCUCGUCCAGACAGUCAACUGAAGAAGUCCCUUUAGCUGGUUGGAAAAGUUAGUUUCACUGCAGUUUCUUGUGGUUGGCUAACAUGUUACUGAGUGUAUGCUAGGUUCCACGUCAGUUAAGGUCCUUUGUCAAGGCAGCACCUAUUUACGGUGAACAGUGCUCUUUAUCUGUUUUGUUCACUGAAAGGCUCAUGGUAUCCUUGUUGUCAGCAUAUGAAUUACAAGCCAGAAUUUGAGAAGCUGAAGAUGUGGUAUGAGCACCGGCUAAUUGAUGAGAAGGUGGCGCUGAUGAUUUAUGUCAUCUGGCGCCUUUGUGUGGGGGUGCAAGAACUACAACGGAAAUGUACAGUCAGAUAUCCUGGCGCAGGUGAGUGAUAUCGGGGGCUGGUGGUGAGGUUUGGGGGGAGGACAAGGUGGUCAAUAGGAAUAAUGUCUGAAAUUCUUCUAGGUGCUAUAUGCUUCUCCGGGGAUGGGAACCAUGCAUACGUGGUAUUCACUCUUCCCAUGACGAGCCACAGGAUAUGUGGGUGUCAUUGUUAUUCUGUGCUUAACUGAACAAUCAAAGCUGUUAAUAACAGUUAACUUCCCUCACCUAGUUUCUUGGGUCUGAAUUGGUUGUUGAUUAUAAGCUGAAAUCACAAACCAUCAGAGCCUGUAGCUCUCCAUGGGGAUAGGAGUGAAUAGUAGUGGCUGUAGAGACCCCCAGGUUCUCUACUGAGGUUAUACAGUUGAGGCCAAAAGUUAAAGACUAAAGGUUAAAGACAUUCAAACUCAAUUUUUCACAACUCCACACAUUUCAUUUUACCAUACAUUUCCUGUGAGAAGUCAGUUAGGGUAUCUACUUUAUUUCCAUAAGAGAGAGAGAGUCAUUUCAAAAUAUUAGCUAAAAGACUUUAUGUAGCUUUUAUGUACUAGACCAGAUUUUCAGUGGGUCAAAAGUUUACAUACACUUUGUUAGUAUUUGGUGGCAUUUCCUUUUAAUUGCUUAAUUUGAAUCAAACUCUAGGGGUAGGCUUCCACAAGCUUCUCACAAUACUUUGCCGGAAUUUUUGCCUAUUCCUCCGGACAGAACUGGUGCUCCUUGCUCAGACAUGCUUUUUCAGUUCAGUCCACAAAUUUCCUAUGGGAUUCAGGUCAGGGCUUUGAGAUGGCCACUCUAUAACUUUCACUUUGUUGUCUUUAAGCCAAAUUUGGAUGUAUGCUUAGGAUCAUAGCCGCCUUGAACAAUAGGCCUCGCUGAUCAGGCCUGAGUGUGUACUGUUGUCUGUCAUUGUAUUCUGUUACUGUGUGCUGUUGUAUGUACUUGUGGCAAUGGGUAAAGGUAAGUAGCCUGACUACGGCACCUUGGGAAUUUCACCCAAGGAGAUAACCAAUUCGGACACUUUACAACAGUUUGCAGGUUAUUUCAUUGAAAGAAGACAGAGGCGUGGUUCAAAAGAAAUUAUUUUAACUUUUAUUGAGAUUUAAGAGGGCUGGAAGUGCCUGUAUGGAAGAAAAUAGCCAAUACGAUUAGAAGCUACAAGAAAAUAGCAGAACAAUUUAAGCAACGAUACCAAACUUUUAUUAAUUUAACA
Molecule: RNA transcript, 3451 nt
Organism: Anguilla rostrata (American eel)
Lineage: Eukaryota; Metazoa; Chordata; Actinopteri; Anguilliformes; Anguillidae
Gene: tmed3
Gene name: transmembrane p24 trafficking protein 3
Exons: 6
Source: RefSeq, a predicted model, not a curated record